GGGAGCGCGCUACCUGCAGUCGAAGGUAACAUUUCUAGCUUGCUGAAGAUGACGAGUGGCGGACGGGUGAGUAAUGCUUGGGAACUUGCCUUUGCGAGGGGGAUAACAGUUGGAAACGACUGCUAAUACCGCAGAAUGUCUUCGGACCAAACGGGGCUUAGGCUCCGGCGCAAAGAGAGGCCCAAGUGAGAUUAGCUAGUUGGUAAGGUAACGGCUUACCAAGGCGACGAUCUCUAGCUGUUCUGAGAGGAAGAUCAGCCACACUGGGACUGAGACACGGCCCAGACUCCUACGGGAGGCAGCAGUGGGGAAUAUUGCACAAUGGGGGAAACCCUGAUGCAGCCAUGCCGCGUGUGUGAAGAAGGCCUUCGGGUUGUAAAGCACUUUCAGUUGUGAGGAAAAGUUAGUAGUUAAUACCUGCUAGCCGUGACGUUAACAACAGAAGAAGCACCGGCUAACUCCGUGCCAGCAGCCGCGGUAAUACGGAGGGUGCGAGCGUUAAUCGGAAUUACUGGGCGUAAAGCGCACGCAGGCGGUUUGUUAAGCUAGAUGUGAAAGCCCCGGGCUCAACCUGGGAUGGUCAUUUAGAACUGGCAGACUAGAGUCUUGGAGAGGGGAGUGGAAUUCCAGGUGUAGCGGUGAAAUGCGUAGAUAUCUGGAGGAACAUCAGUGGCGAAGGCGACUCCCUGGCCAAAGACUGACGCUCAUGUGCGAAAGUGUGGGUAGCGAACAGGAUUAGAUACCCUGGUAGUCCACACCGUAAACGCUGUCUACUAGCUGUGUGUGUCUUUAAGACGUGCGUAGCGAAGCUAACGCGCUAAGUAGACCGCCUGGGGAGUACGGCCG
RNAcentral lists this ribosomal RNA (846 nucleotides) under uncultured marine bacterium. RNAcentral's name for it is "bacterial SSU rRNA". It matches the Rfam family "Bacterial small subunit ribosomal RNA", at positions 42 to 888 of the family's 1533-position model. The record is from RNAcentral.